This 481-nucleotide ribosomal RNA is filed under the name uncultured bacterium. RNAcentral's name for it is "partial 16S ribosomal RNA". It matches the Rfam family "Bacterial small subunit ribosomal RNA", at positions 28 to 507 of the family's 1533-position model. The record is from RNAcentral.
GAUGAACGCUGGCGGCGUGCUUAACACAUGCAAGUCGAACGAAGCACUUUAUUUGAUUUCCUUCGGGACUGAUUAUUUUGUGACUGAGUGGCGGACGGGUGAGUAACGCGUGGGUAACCUGCCUUGUACAGGGGGAUAACAGUUGGAAACGGCUGCUAAUACCGCAUAAGCGCACAGCAUCGCAUGAUGCAGUGUGAAAAACUCCGGUGGUAUAAGAUGGACCCGCGUUGGAUUAGCUAGUUGGUGAGGUAACGGCCCACCAAGGCGACGAUCCAUAGCCGACCUGAGAGGGUGACCGGCCACAUUGGGACUGAGACACGGCCCAAACUCCUACGGGAGGCAGCAGUGGGGAAUAUUGCACAAUGGGCGAAAGCCUGAUGCAGCGACGCCGCGUGAGCGAAGAAGUAUUUCGGUAUGUAAAGCUCUAUGAGCAGGGAAGAUAAUGACGGUACCUGACUAAGAAGCACCGGCUAAAUACGUG